CCUACGGGAGGCAGCAGUAGGGAAUCUUUCACAAUGGGCGAAAGCCUGAUGGAGCAACGCCGCGUGCAGGAUGAAGGCCUUCGGGUUGUAAACUGCUUUUAUAAGCGAGAAAUAUGAUGGUAACUUAUGAAUAAGGAUCGGCUAACUACGUGCCAGCAGCCGCGGUCAUACGUAGGAUCCGAGCAUUAUCCGGAGUGACUGGGGGUAAAGAGUUGCGUAGGUGGGAAAAUAAGUAGCUAGUGAAAACUGGUGGCUCAACCAUUCAGACUAUUAUCAAAACUGUUAAGCUCGAGAGUGUGAGGGGUAACUGGAAUUUCUAGUGUAGGAGUGAAAUCCGUAGAUAUUAGAAGGAACACCAAUAGCGUAGGCAGGUUACUGGGACGGUUCUGACACUAAGGCACGAAAGCGUAGGGAGCAAACGGGAUUAGAUACCCGUGUAGUC
This 442-nucleotide ribosomal RNA is filed under the name uncultured bacterium. RNAcentral's name for it is "partial 16S ribosomal RNA". It matches the Rfam family "Bacterial small subunit ribosomal RNA", at positions 338 to 795 of the family's 1533-position model. The record is from RNAcentral.